RNAcentral lists this ribosomal RNA (520 nucleotides) under uncultured Diversispora. Its description in RNAcentral is "SSU rRNA". It matches the Rfam family "Eukaryotic small subunit ribosomal RNA", at positions 569 to 1088 of the family's 1831-position model. The record is from RNAcentral. Lineage: Eukaryota; Fungi; Glomeromycota; Glomeromycetes; Diversisporales; Diversisporaceae.
AGCAGCCGCGGUAAUUCCAGCUCCAACAGCGUAUAUUAAAGUUGUUGCAGUUAAAAAGCUCGUAGUUGAACUUCGGGGUUUACCCAUUGGUCAGGCUUAAUUGUCUGUACUGGUGAGAUGAAUCUCUACCUUCUGAGGAACUUUCAUGCCAUUUAUUUGGUGUGAUGGGAAAUCAGGACUGUUACUUUGAAAAAAUUAGAGUGUUUAAAGCAGGCUAACGUCUGAAUACAUUAGCAUGGAAUAAUGAAAUAGGACGGACUGAUUCUAUUUCGUUGGUUUCUAGGAUCACCGUAAUGAUUAAUAGGGAUAGUUGGGGGCAUUAGUAUUCAAUUGUCAGAGGUGAAAUUCUUGGAUUUAUUGAAGACUAACUACUGCGAAAGCAUUUGCCAAGGAUGUUUUCAUUAAUCAAGAACGAAAGUUAGGGGAUCGAAGACGAUCAGAUACCGUCGUAGUCUUAACCAUAAACUAUGCCGACUAGGGAUCGGACGAAGUUAAUUUUAUAAUGACGCGUUCGGCACCU